AAAACUGUCUUUUGUUGCAAAGCCCACAAAUAUAUGUCUUAGAAAAGUUGGCUUGAGCUGGGUACUCCAUUAGAAUGUUUCUGAGAGUCAAUGAUAAAUAAAGAUUCUAUGCUCGUUCUUCCUUCUUUUCUAUAUUUCUGAAUUUACUUUAGGACACCGAUUGGAAAUGCUAAGCUAGAACUUAAUCACGAUGUAUGGCAGGUGCAUCACUGGGUGAAG
Molecule: unclassified non-coding RNA, 219 nt
Filed under: Hevea brasiliensis (rubber tree)
Lineage: Eukaryota; Viridiplantae; Streptophyta; Magnoliopsida; Malpighiales; Euphorbiaceae
Source: RNAcentral